Esox lucius (northern pike) is the source of this 293-nucleotide long non-coding RNA. RefSeq lists it as uncharacterized. The transcript is spliced from 3 exons. The record is from RefSeq and is a predicted model, not a curated record. Lineage: Eukaryota; Metazoa; Chordata; Actinopteri; Esociformes; Esocidae.
UUUCCUCAAAAGGUUUCGAUUAGAAAAGGAUGACAGGUGCAUCAUAUUGGAGUUACCAACGUGUGUGCUUUCUGAAAUCCUAAAUGAAGUGGUACUACAGGAAGGAGAUAAGGCAUACUUAAGAUUGGCUCUUGUGUGUACCACCUUCAGGGACACUGUGUCCACUGACUCCUUCAGGAGACGGGCACAUUUUCAGUGGCUUGACAGUGUCGCUACAUGGAGCAGGUUUUCUGAGUCCUAAAGAAAAUAAUUCUACACCAUGUACACCGUGGACACCUGUCGUGAAUGUGGAA